RNAcentral lists this ribosomal RNA (449 nucleotides) under uncultured bacterium. Its description in RNAcentral is "bacterial SSU rRNA". It matches the Rfam family "Bacterial small subunit ribosomal RNA", at positions 355 to 825 of the family's 1533-position model. The record is from RNAcentral.
UGAGGAAUAUUGCACAAUGGGGGCAACCCUGAUGCAGCGACGCCGCGUGGGUGAUGAAGGUUUUCGGAUCGUAAAGCCCUUUUCUGCAUGACGAGCACAGGACGGUAGUGCAGGAAUAAGUGUCGGCUAACUACGUGCCAGCAGCCGCGGUAAAACGUAGGACACAAGCGUUAUCCGGAAUUACUGGGCGUAAAGGGCGUGCAGGCGGUUGCGUAAGUUAGGCGUGAAAGACUUCGGCUAAACCGGGGGAGGUCGUCUGAUACUGCGCAACUAGAGUAUGGUAGAGGCGUGUAGAAUUCCGGGUGUAGUGGUGAAAUGCGUAGAGAUCCGGAGGAAUACCAGUGGCGAAGGCGGCACGCUGGGCCAUAACUGACGCUAAGACGCGAAAGCAUGGGUAGUGAACGGGAUUAGAUACCCCCGUAGUCCCUGAGCGGGCUGGCAAGGCGCAU